UGGGGACAUCGGGGACACCUGAGGGGACAUUGGGGACAUUGGAGACAUUGAGGGGACACUCUGGGGACACCUGGGGGACACCUGGGGACACCUUGGGGACAUUGGGGACAUCAGGGGGGACAUUGGGAACAACUGGGGACACUUUGGGGACACCUGGGGGACACCUGGGGACAUCGGGGGGGACAUUGAGGACACCUGGGGACACUUUGGGGACACCUUAGGGACAUUGGGGACACCUGGGGGACAUCUGGGGGACAUCGGGGACUUCUGGGGGCAUCGGGGGGACAUUGGGGACAGCUGGGGGACACUUGGGGACAUUGGGGACACCUUGGGGACAUUUGGGGACAUCGGGGACACUGAGGGGACACUUGGGGACACUGAGGGGACACUUGGGGACAUUUGGGGACACUUGGGGACACUUGGGGACAUCGGGGACAGGCUGUCUCACCAGCAGGACCUCGCUGUCCUCCUCCAGCUUCCCCUGCCAGCUGUACCUGGGGACAUCGGGGACACGGCGGGUGGCACCUCCCCUCCCCCGCUGUCCCCAGGCCCUGACACCCUCCCUGUGUCACCAAUGUCACCUCAGUGUCACCUCAGUGUCACCAAUGUCACCUCAGUGUCACCAAUGUCACCCCAGUGUCACCUCAGUGUCACCCCAGUGUCACCAAUGUCACCUCAGUGUCACCAGUGUCACCAAUGUCACCAAUGUCACCCCAAUGUCACCAAUGUCACCCCAGUGUCACCCCAAUGUCACCUCAGUGUCACCUCAGUGUCACCCCAGUGUCACCAAUGUCACCUCAGUGUCACCUCAGUGUCACCAAUGUCACCUCAGUGUCACCCCGGUGUCACCAAUGUCACCAAUGUCACCUCAGUGUCACCUCAGUGUCACCCCAGUGUCACCUCAGUGUCACCCUGAUGUCACCAAUGUCCCCCCAAUGUCCCCGAUGUCCCCUCAGUGUCCCCAAUGUCCCCAAGGUGUCCCCGCUGUCCCCGAUGUCCCCAAGGUGUCCCCGCUGUCCCCACUCACACCGAGGUGUCCCCAAUGUCCCCAAUGUCCCCAAUGUCCCCUCAGUGUCCCCGAUGUCCCCAAGGUGUCCCCGCUGUCCCCAAUGUCCCCAA
RNAcentral lists this long non-coding RNA (1119 nucleotides) under Parus major (Great Tit). RNAcentral describes it as "lncRNA (ENSPMJG00000004743.1)". Lineage: Eukaryota; Metazoa; Chordata; Aves; Passeriformes; Paridae. The record is from RNAcentral.